This 107-nucleotide small nuclear RNA is filed under the name Chinchilla lanigera (long-tailed chinchilla). The record is from RNAcentral. Lineage: Eukaryota; Metazoa; Chordata; Mammalia; Rodentia; Chinchillidae.
GUGCUUGCUUCGGUAGCACAUAUACUAAAAUUGGAAUGAUACAAAGAAGAUUAGCAUGGCCCCUGUACAAGGAGGACAUGCAAAUUCGUGAAGCAUUCCAUAUUUUU